RNAcentral lists this ribosomal RNA (439 nucleotides) under uncultured Bacillota bacterium. RNAcentral's name for it is "bacterial SSU rRNA". It matches the Rfam family "Bacterial small subunit ribosomal RNA", at positions 917 to 1359 of the family's 1533-position model. Lineage: Bacteria; Bacillati; Bacillota. The record is from RNAcentral.
GGGCCCGCACAAGCGGUGGAGUAUGUGGUUUAAUUCGAAGCAACGCGAAGAACCUUACCAGGCCUUGACAUCCCGAGCAAAGAUAUGGAGACAUAUUGGAGGUUAUCUCGGUGACAGGUGGUGCAUGGUUGUCGUCAGCUCGUGUCGUGAGAUGUUGGGUUAAGUCCCGCAACGAGCGCAACCCUUGUCUUUAGUUACUAACAUUAAGUUGAGGACUCUAGACGAGACUGCCGGUUGAUAAACCGGAGGAAGGUGGGGAUGACGUCAAAUCAUCAUGCCCCUUAUGGCCUGGGCUACACACGUACUACAAUGGCAGUUACAAAGAGCAGCGAACUCGCGAGAGUAAGCAAAUCUCAUAAAGGCUGUCUCAGUUCGGAUUGGAGUCUGCAACUCGACUCCAUGAAGUCGGAAUCGCUAGUAAUCGUAGAUCAGCAUGCUA